UACGGAAGGCAGCAGUGGGGAAUAUUGCACAAUGGGCGCAAGCCUGAUGCAGCCAUGCCGCGUGUAUGAAGAAGGCCUUCGGGUUGUAAAGUACUUUCAGUCGUGAGGAAGGUGUUAAGGUUAAUAACCUUAGCAAUUGACGUUAGCGACAGAAGAAGCACCGGCUAACUCCGUGCCAGCAGCCGCGGUAAUACGGAGGGUGCGAGCGUUAAUCGGAAUUACUGGGCGUAAAGGGCACGCAGGCGGUUAAUUAAGUUGGAUGUGAAAUCCCCGGGCUUAACCUGGGAAUGGCAUUCAAGACUGGUUAGCUAGAGUCUUGUAGAGGGGGUAGAAUUCCAUGUGUAGCGGUGAAAUGCGUAGAGAUGUGGAGGAAUACCGGUGGCGAAGGCGGCCCCUGGGACAAAGACUGACGCUCAUGUGCGAAAGCGUGGGGAGCGAAAC
Molecule: ribosomal RNA, 441 nt
Filed under: uncultured bacterium
Lineage: Bacteria
Description: bacterial SSU rRNA
Rfam family: Bacterial small subunit ribosomal RNA
Source: RNAcentral